ACGCUGGCGGCGUGCCUAAUACAUGCAAGUCGAGCGAAGUUUUUCUGGUGCUUGCACUAGAAAAACUUAGCGGCGAACGGGUGAGUAACACGUAAAGAACCUGCCUCAUAGACUGGGACAACUAUUGGAAACGAUAGCUAAUACCGGAUAACAGCAUUAACUGCAUGGUUGAUGUUUGAAAGUUGGUUUUGCUAACACUAUGAGAUGGCUUUGCGGUGCAUUAGCUAGUUGGUGGGGUAAAGGCCUACCAAGGCGACGAUGCAUAGCCGACCUGAGAGGGUGAUCGGCCACACUGGGACUGAGACACGGCCCAGACUCCUACGGGAGGCAGCAGUAGGGAAUCUUCCGCAAUGGGCGAAAGCCUGACGGAGCAACGCCGCGUGAGUGAAGAAGGAUUUCGGUUCGUAAAGCUCUGUUGUUAGGGAAGAAUGAUUGUGUAGUAACUAUACACAGUAGAGACGGUACCUAACCAGAAAGCCACGGCUAACUACGUGCCAGCAGCCGCGGUAAUACGUAGGUGGCAAGCGUUGUCCGGAAUUAUUGGGCGUAAAGCGCGCGCAGGUGGUUUAAUAAGUCUGAUGUGAAAGCCCACGGCUCAACCGUGGAGGGUCAUUGGAAACUGUUAAACUUGAGUGCAGGAGAGAAAAGUGGAAUUCCUAGUGUAGCGGUGAAAUGCGUAGAGAUUAGGAGGAACACCAGUGGCGAAGGCGGCUUUUUGGCCUGUAACUGACACUGAGGCGCGAAAGCGUGGGGAGCAAACAGGAUUAGAUACCCUGGUAGUCCACGCCGUAAACGAUGAGUGCUAAGUGUUGGUCUCAUAAGAGAUCAGUGCUGCUGCUAACGCAUUAAGCACUCCGCCUGGGGAGUACGACCGCAAGGUUGAAACUCAAAGGAAUUGACGGGGACCCGC
RNAcentral lists this ribosomal RNA (910 nucleotides) under uncultured bacterium. RNAcentral's name for it is "bacterial SSU rRNA". It matches the Rfam family "Bacterial small subunit ribosomal RNA", at positions 33 to 924 of the family's 1533-position model. The record is from RNAcentral.